Molecule: long non-coding RNA, 859 nt
Filed under: Pongo abelii (Sumatran orangutan)
Lineage: Eukaryota; Metazoa; Chordata; Mammalia; Primates; Hominidae
Description: lincRNA
Source: RNAcentral
AAAACGUAUGAGGAAGAAAAUAGCAGAUGAGAAGAAUCAACCAAAUUCCGGAAGCUGGAAAACAGAUGCAAGAAGGCCCUUGAAUGAUGCCAGCACCUUGAUAUUGGACUUCCUAGCCUCCAGAACCAUAAGCCAAUACAUUUCUGUUCCAUAAAAAUUACCCAGUUCCAGGUAUUCUGCUAUAGCAGCACAAAAUGGACUAAAACAAUGUUGGCACAAGACUCAGUGCUGGGCCUGGCAUACAACAAGUCCUUGGAGUGGCGUGCUGUGUGGAUAAUGAAUGUUGGGGAAGGCGUCUCUCUCCAGCCCCUCUCAAGCUUUCUGUAGUCGCUGAUUCACUCUGUAUUGCUAUGAAGAAGCUCAAGACCAGCCUGUAUCACUCGGGGUCCGGGCAGGAACCAGGUGCCACACUCAAACUGAGUAAUUGAAGAGGGUUUAAUAUGGGAGUUAUUUACAAAGGUGUGGGCUGGUGUAGCUGACCAUAUGCCCUCAAAAUCACUUCUACAUGGCAAUAGCUACUUACUGCUAACACAGUCUCUCUCUCAUUGCUGCAAAUAUUUUCUAGCCAUGCAAGAAACUCAGCCAGUUAUGUUGAACAAAGUAAGAGUGCCAGGAAGUUAAUGUCCUGGAAGCAUUGCCAGAGGGGAGGGGGCGGAUAGAUUCCCCAGCUUCCUCGCUCCUCAGCUGAGUUAAGCCUGCGACAUACUCAUCAUCUCCCAGAGUACUACUGCCCAGGGAUAGAGCUCCAGGUGCUCAGCGUGGUGACCUGCUCAUGUCAGCUUCUUCCCCUUUCCUGUCUUGUUUCGCACCCACAUCCUUCCCAUGUUUCCUCUUCCCAAAUAAACUAUUUGCAUUGAAA